AGGUCUCAGCCACAAGGUGUCCUUGAUUAUCUGGUCCUUGAUUUUUACCCACAAGUUCUCAACUUGUCUGUGGCUGUUUAUCAGAGGCAGCUGUGCACAAUCUAUCCAGUUCUUAAAUAGCGAAAGGAGGUGAGCCUUAUCUCAGUGCCUGGGAGGAUCAUGGAACAGGCUUUCCUGGAAGCUGUGUUAAGUAACGUAAAAUUAAAGGUCUUAAAAGGAUGGAAUUUUGAAGAUCCAAAGGGAAAAUUUAUAUCAGCACAACAGAUGGUAGGAAUAAUGCCUACAACAAGUUGUGUCUUAGAUGAAGACUACUUUGAAGUGAAGAAAUAAAUAAAAGGAACUGGAAGUUUUGAUGUGUGAUAAGCAGUAUGGCUUACCUGCGUAUCAAGAGACUUCUUGGGAGAACUGUGUGUGCAUUGGAAUGCUGGCAUAAAACAGAACAUCACUUGCUCAGAGAAGUCAUGUGAAAAAAGAGGAAGGUUUUUCCCUUUGUAUCAACAAUGCGUUGACAUCCAAAAGGUAGGAGUUAUACUUAGAGGUAUGGAAAAAGGGGAAGAACAUGACCAACUUUGUGAAGAUAAAUUAUUAAUGAACAAUGAAGAGAGUCUUUUGGAGCACAGGGUAUUGUAAUAAGGGAAUUUGAAGGAAUCUGAGCUAUCCAGAAGUCUGAGAAAUGGAUGAAAGGAGAGUAUGAUCCAUUCAUGUAAAGAUGAAAUGAUGACACCCUUAAAGUUACAUGGCCCAUCUGACAUGGAGGAAAAACGAAGAGUCGUGACAUUUACUGAAGUGUUGAUGCACAGAUAUGGAAAGCUUCAAUGCUCUCAGGAUGCUUUCAUGGGAUGUAUCUUGAAAUUAUGGCCUUACAAUUAAGAAAGUAAAAAGCUCACUUCCCUUGCUGGAUAAGAUCAGAAGAUAAAGGCAGAUAUGUAGAAAACCUAUUAUUCACUGCUUGGAUUUUGAGUAGGGUCAGCUGAGAGAACUGAGUAACACUGUCCGCUAGAACUUUGAGAGAUGUCAAUGUGGCCAUUUAGUAUAAAUUUAUUUUCACAUGCAGUUCACCUGGCUAUGUAGUUUUUGUUUCCCCAGUAUGGUUACACAAGCAGUUCUUUUCUGCUGAGCACAAGGUUAUUUCUGGUACAUUUUAUAAUCUGAAAUCUCUAUGUUGAAAAAAUCUUAAAUAUUUAUUCUUCAAAAUGGCUGGGUGUAUCCUGUGAGUAGCUGCUGAUUCAGAGUUCCAUACUUAAAAUCUCUGAAUUCAGAAAUGCUGAGUAAGAAACCAAGUUAGUAAUUAAUCCUUAUGGAAUAUGCAAAAAUUAUUUUUAAAAAAAGUUUAAUUAAACUGGAUUAUUAAAAUACUAUGAGUAUAUGUGGCUGAGGGCCAUAUCUGUGAGAGGUUACAGCUAUCACUGACUCCAGUGGAAGCUGGGGAAUUGUACAGCUUUGGAGGAACAGCUUCCUAAGUCAGUUGGUGUUGCAAUGUGUUGAGAAGGGGUGUGACAAAACCUCUUUGAUUCCAGCUGCUGAUUAGCAUAUGCCCUUUUGGAUAACUGCAAAUGCUGCUCUUUCUCUCAACUGUGUAUUUUUUAUUUUUUAACUCUCAGUUCCCGUAAGAAUAUUUUUGUAGGUGUGCAUUUAGGUGUGUCACAAGCUGAUGAUUCCCUUUAAAAUUUCAUUGUUUUAAAACAGGAGGAGUGGGGAAAAAGCUCAUAAAUCUAACAAGAAAGCAAUUUACGGCUAUAUCCAUUAUGGGGAAUAACCUGCUACAGUGAAAUAGCACACCCGGUAAUCAAUGAGUCAUAUGUGCUGAUAGAAACCAUUUUAAAACAGAGAAGAAAUAGAACAGUCCACAUAGGAAAAAAAAAAAGAACACAGACCAACCCAUAACCCCCCGCAAUAACAUCUAUAUCAGUUAUAGGUGCAAUUCAAACUUAAUUUUUCCUUUUUUUUUUUUUAUUCAUUUCAUUUAGUGCUUUUCACUUUCUCUACUGAUGUGCUUAUGUGUGGGCUUUGGUGCCAUUGGGCUUUGGAAGUGUUUAGAGCAAGACUGCAGUGUAGAGGUUACCCUAGCAUCCUUCUGAGGAGAUUUCCUCCUGCAGAGAACUUGCCUUCUGCAGAGAGUGGCCCACAGCUUUGUGGUGGUGUCUCUGCGACCAUCUUCUCUCUGCUGCUGGCUGGGGUCAUUGCUGGGGAAAAGGUGGCUGGGUUCAGAUUCUUAAUCUACUGCUCUUUAUUGUGUGGUCGGUGUUGGUGAGUUUUCAGAGUGAUCUCUGGACUGUUACGCAUAAUGUCUUGUACCAGUACAUGGUCUGGAAUGGCCUGGUGAGUCAUAGAGGAAACAAAAACAUUUUAAACCCUGUUUGCUUCUGGGUUGGUGCUCUUUGGUCUGCAGGGCUGCUGUUUCUUUGGCAUGUCUUCCCCCAAGAUCUCGGUUCUUCAGUUACAGGACAGUGUGAGGGAAUUUAUUCCCUUGCUACCCUCUGUGCUUGUUGGGAAGAUGCAUGGUUGUCUGCUCUUUCCUUCUCUCUCUUAAUUUCUAUAAAUGGACUAAAAGGAAUAUGCUGCAUAAACUGUAGGCACUCUGCUUUCACAGAUCUACCUCCAUGCUGAUCUUCUACCCAGGCUGCAGUUUUAGUCACCCUGUCACAGAUACAAGUCUAGAUGCAAGCCUAGCUCAAUUAGAACCUUAUUUACAUGGAGCUUUUCAUCUUCCCCUGCAAGCUCUUCAACUUGUGUACUGCUUUGGGUUUGAUCCCUGUGCAGGGCACUGAUCCCUGUCUGUUAGAUUUGUAAGCACAGAUGGUUUCUUCUUGUCUUGGGUAUUACAAAACAGGACAAGUCUGUGUCUGAGCCUUGAUUCAGCCUGUUUAAAAUUUCCAGUGAAGUCACACCCCACCACGUAACUCCUUGUUUCUCAGUUACAGCAUUCUUUGGCCCCUUUUACCUGUUUUUUUUUUUUUUAUUGAAAUUUUCCCAUCAAGCAGACUUUCCCAGUCUGUCCCUUUGUCUCUGUCACUUCUCUAUUUGUGUUUCUCCCUGCACUGCCCAUUAGGUUAAACAUGAAAUCACUCAGCUUUACUUUGAAGGCCCAUCCUAGCCUCUUAGUACUCUCCUUUCCUCUCUCAUUUUUUACUGUGAUGUCAGCACCGCUGUUCAGUUAGGCUGACCCUCGCUGCUCAUGCCCACCUUGGGCAUGGGCAAAAAGUUCAUUACACAGCAAAUUCUGCAGUGGGAUUCUACAGAGGCAAAUACCUGUACACUUUUGCUUGGCUCUUCUGCAGUAAAAAUCCAAUACACACCACUAAAACUGCCCAGGUAAGGAUUGAACAGUAACUUAAAUUUCUUUCAUUUAUUAUUUUUUCUAUAUCUGUUUGUUUGCACUCUGAAGAGUGCUAAGCACCCUCAGCUCUCAUAGCUUUAGCGUUUUACAAGGUCCUCCCCUCACUAUCUGACCUCCCUAUCGUUCAGAAGGAGGUUAGUGCUCCAGGCACCGGGAGAAAAUAGAAAACUUCAAAGUCUUUGUAUUAUAAUAGGACAGCAUAUCAUACAGUUUAUUUUAGCAGGGCUAAGGAUCUGUGGAGUUCUUAUAAUUAUUAAUGUCAUUUCUCCUGUUAAAUAUUCAGAUUGCUGAAAUGCUGAGUAUUAGUGCUGGGCACUGAUGAUAAAUAUUUGUCUUGGUUCCUUGGGACCUGGGAAAUCAUUUGGAAACUAUUUGAUAAGGGGUUAUAGUGAUGCUACAAUCUCCUAAUCCAAAAAGUCACUGCCAGGCACUGCAUUUGCAUAUGCAAGAUGAGAUUUUUUUUUUCCAGAGAGAUGACUGGUAAUGCUGUUUUCUCUUUUGCUCCUGUCAUUGGUCCAGAGUGUUUUAUUUCACAGUAGCAAAGAGGGUUUCUUCCUGCUUUCCCCUUUUGCCAUUUUUCACCAGCAAAAGCAAAUGUUUGUUCUCCAGGCAAAUGGACUCCAUGGACCCUUUAGCUUCAGUGACUCACAAAUGCCUUUAUGACUUUCUGCUAGAUACAAGCAACGUUGGAUGACAAGCAGAGAUUUCGAGGGAAUGGGUUUCUAGCUCCUUGUGCCCUGGAUCUGAUCUAGAGCCUAUUUACUAUGCCUGUAGGAAGAGGCUUCUUGUCUUUGAUAAUCUUUGUCUUGUACUCCUCAUUGUGCUACUGUUCUCAGGGCCUGAGUCCAGAACUCUCAUAGAAUUAGCUGUGAUGCCUCAAAAACCUGUAAAACAGUGGGGAACUUCAGCUUUGACAGUUAGCCUGACUUCAUUCUUCCAUCAUCUCUGCUCUAAACAUAAUGCUUAUUGUGUUACAACAGGCACCCCAAAGCUUGUUUCCUACCUCUCCAGGGUUCAGAUCCGUCCAGUCAGAGCUGAAGGUAAAUUCUGUGGCACCCUAAAAGCAAAUCAUGUAGUAGAUGGAUCACCACUUGGAAAAAGCCAUGAUACUGAGUCUUUGUCCUUAUUCUGCACUCUGGAGUGGGGCCUUGCUCUUUUGUUCUGGCUAUCUGGUGCUGUGAUCCAUCAGCAUAGCCAGGGCAAAGGACCACACCACCGAGCAGCUGAUCGCACACUCGCAGGUAUCUCUCUGUGGCUCAACAGAAUACAACUGUUUCCUUUCCUGCAGAUGAAUGAAGACCUGAUUUUAUGAGUCCUCUGAUGAGCUUUGGAUGUGGAAUGCUCCAAAAGGCCUUUGCCAAAAAGAUGUCCAGUGCAUAGCUUCACAGCCCAUCUUCCCGGUUUCUGCUGGCACGUAUGACAUAAUAUCUACCAUAUGAAAGGAAGGAAAAAGGCUUCCAUAUAAAGUUCUUGCACAGUGUAAAGCAAGGACUUUAGGCUGGCGGAGACUGGUACUUCUGAACAUGGGACAGGUGACAAAGAUGCGUGGUCCUAACUGUUCUGCAACACAACCCCUCCACAGACCAUGGUGUGUAUCCCUCCUGCUGUAAUGCUGUAACAAGGGAGGAGUCAAUAAUAUUCCAGAUAUCCCUCAGCCUCCAGCCAGGAUAAAAUGCCAGAUUAACAAUGUACUGUGGAUGUUAAUGGAGAAGUUGGAGAGUGAAGACAAGCCUUGUGCUCAUUUCUAACACUGUUUGGGCAUUUAUGAAACACUCUGUGCAAAUUUGAAUUCCUCUAGGAUGUCGUAGCUAGUGCCGUUUUUACUGAAGACGGAGUCUGUUGACCACAUGAGGCCAUGGGGCAGCUAGACCACCCAGGACUCUUUGUCAUUUUCAAUAACUAAAUUAUUUACCAGAGGGCAAAUUGUACCAUACUAGCACGUAGAAUAUUCAUUCUUCUCUGGACAAUCUUAUAACUGCCUCUUUAAAGAAAUUAUACUAGCUUUCAAGUCAUUUGUUCGUAUUUGAUUCGUUUGUGCUGUAUAAGAAAAUGAGGAGUAAUGCUGAAUUAUAAGAAAAUAAGUUGUGCCAGAUGUCUCCUGUGCAAUGGAGAGGAUGCCUAUUUACCCCAAAUUUUCAAGUGUGUGUCCAGUUUGGGGCUUUCCCUAGGUAUUAAUCCUGAAAUGUGAUUUUGGAAAUGCUGAGCCUCAGAAGUUCUCAUAGACUCAUGGUGAACUUGAAGACCAGUCACAGCAUGUUGGGAAAUGAGGUACUCUUUUCUCAACUCUCCAAAGUUAUGACAUCUGGUUGUAACACUUGAACUUUUAAGUACUUUUCAUGAAAGAGUGCAAGAGACCACCCAGCAUAGCCACCAACCCGGUGGUUAGGAAACUCAUCUGGUUCUUCUGGUGUGACUCUUUUUCUCUGUUUCUGGUUUUGAGAAGAAAUUCAGCCUGAAGCUGGAAGAAUUUCAUCAAAUCCUAUUGAGAUGAACAGUAUUGCAUACCAAACGUUAACAUGAGAAGGGACAUGCAGUUGUAAUGACAGCCGUGAGAUCCGUACGUUCCUAUUUCUGGUGGGACCACAAAAGUCUUACCAACGGUACUUGAAGUGUCGUGACUGCCAUGAGAGAUGGUCAGUGUGUUAGGAACCUGGAAGUAACAGGAUGCUGUCGUGGCCCCAUGGGCUGUGGGAGGAAGUUUUUUCUAUGGAAGCUGCAAGGAGUUAGCAUUUCUGACAGCAUCUGGCUUGGUUGUAAAUAUUAAUGGGUUCAAGACUGACUAUGUAAAACAUGAAAUGUGUUCAAAACCAAAUCAUGAAAAUGUGCAGGAGUUGAAAAUAAGGCCCCAGCAGAAGUACAUUGUGCUUUCUACUGAGGAUCUGGAACUGCCAAGUCAUCGCCUGUGAACUGUGUAUGACAAGGAGGAGUGAAACUGGCUUUGAAUUAACUGGAAUAUACAUCAGAGUGCCUUAAAGCUUUUGUCAAGUCUUGUAUCCCAUUAGUCCCUGUUGAAGAGGAAACCUUAAAGACAGAGGAAUUGUUAAUGCUCUUGGGGAAGGAGGAGAAAACUACUUCAGGAUGCUGAUGAUCUGCUGUUGUCCCCUCGGAGCGUACAUCAGUGCAAGCUGCUUCAUUUUCCUGGGGUGCCCUAGAACAGGAGGAGAAAGCUGAGGAUGGAAAUUGAAGCUAUGUUGCUGCUCUGAGGGUUUCAGACCAAACCUGUGUGAGCUGCUGGGCUUGCUGCCAGCCACAUACAUGGUAAGAGAAGGUCUUCCCUGCUGCUCUUCGGGUGAAGAUGAGCAAAUGUCAUAUCUCUACACUUCAAAGAGGUUGGGAUUAACAGAGCGCCCUAAUGCCAUGCGGCAAAUGGGUGCUGGCUGUCUCCUGGAUGCCAGGUGGACACACGGAUGACCUAAUCUGUGAACAGCUUUGCCAGCUAUUUGGGACUGGUCCUGCAGCCAUGAAGGCACCUGCUUGUGGAGUGAAUUCAUCCUUGGAUCUUUAGCUGGCAUGAACCCUGAGGUUGUAGGUGAUCAUCAUUGGGGUUUUGAUGUGCGUGGCCAUGGAUCCUGUGCCAGCUGCUUCCUUUGUAGCAUGUUUUGGGGACCUGCCCUCGCUCCUAACCCAAUGCAGGAUGACCCAGCUGCUCUCUGACAGAGGAACCAGGAUUUUAUGGGAUGCCUUUUCCUGUUGUGCCAUAUUGUAUAUCCACAUGGUAACAGGAAAGACUGGUGUCUGGCUGUGGAGGAGCUGGGCAGGAUGCCUGGUGCCCUAGAAAAGGGGCAGAGGCAGUACCCUGUCCCUGCUCCACAGGCAGUCUGAGGCUGGUCCUGCACCUGCUGAAGGUGGCUGGAGUCUGGGUGCUGCCUCCUGUGGGAUGGGUGCGGGCA
Molecule: long non-coding RNA, 7227 nt
Organism: Anas platyrhynchos (mallard)
Lineage: Eukaryota; Metazoa; Chordata; Aves; Anseriformes; Anatidae
Source: RefSeq, a predicted model, not a curated record